Molecule: ribosomal RNA, 464 nt
Filed under: uncultured bacterium
Lineage: Bacteria
Description: partial 16S ribosomal RNA
Rfam family: Bacterial small subunit ribosomal RNA
Source: RNAcentral
GACGAACGCUGGUGGCGUGCUUAACACAUGCCAGUCGAACGGUAAGGCCCUUUCGGGGGUACACGAGUGGCGAACGGGUGAGUAACACGUGGGUGAUCUGCCCUGCACUUUGGGAUAAGCCUGGGAAACUGGGUCUAAUACCGGAUAGGACUACGCGAUGCAUGUCGUGUGGUGGAAAGCUUUUGCGGUGUGGGAUGGGCCCGCGGCCUAUCAGCUUGUUGGUGGGGUGAUGGCCUACCAAGGCGACGACGGGUAGCCGGCCUGAGAGGGUGUCCGGCCACACUGGGACUGAGAUACGGCCCAGACUCCUACGGGAGGCAGCAGUGGGGAAUAUUGCACAAUGGGCGCAAGCCUGAUGCAGCGACGCCGCGUGGGGGAUGACGGCCUUCGGGUUGUAAACCCCUUUCAGCACAGACGAAGCGUAAGUGACGGUAUGUGCAGAAGAAGCACCGGCCAACUACGUG